AUUGAACGCUGGCGGCAGGCCUAACACAUGCAAGUCGAGCGGAUGAAGGGAGCUUGCUCCUGGAUUCAGCGGCGGACGGGUGAGUAAUGCCUAGGAAUCUGCCUGGUAGUGGGGGAUAACGUCCGGAAACGGGCGCUAAUACCGCAUACGUCCUGAGGGAGAAAGUGGGGGAUCUUCGGACCUCACGCUAUCAGAUGAGCCUAGGUCGGAUUAGCUAGUUGGUGGGGUAAAGGCCUACCAAGGCGACGAUCCGUAACUGGUCUGAGAGGAUGAUCAGUCACACGGGAACUGAAACAGGGCCCAGACCCCUAGGGGGGGCAGCAGGGGGGAAGUUUGGAAAAGGGGGGAAAGCCUGACCCAGCCAGGCCGGGGGUGUGAAGAAGUUCUUCGGUUGUUAAAGCACUUUAAGUGGGGAGGAAGGGCAGUAAGUUAAUACCUUGCUGUUUGGACGUGACCAACAAAAAAAGCACCGGCUAACUUCGG
RNAcentral lists this ribosomal RNA (483 nucleotides) under uncultured bacterium. RNAcentral describes it as "partial 16S ribosomal RNA". It matches the Rfam family "Bacterial small subunit ribosomal RNA", at positions 29 to 506 of the family's 1533-position model. The record is from RNAcentral.